GCUCUCCGUGACUUAGUCAGAAGAACAACCGACUAUGGUGCGGUAGAACUCGGGUUCGAGCCCCGCUGAAAGCA
Non-coding RNA from Henosepilachna vigintioctopunctata, 74 nucleotides. The record is from the annotation of a GenBank genome assembly. NCBI's taxonomy places the organism in Eukaryota, Metazoa, Arthropoda, Insecta, Coleoptera, Coccinellidae.